Cucurbita moschata (crookneck pumpkin) is the source of this 677-nucleotide long non-coding RNA. RefSeq lists it as uncharacterized. The record is from RefSeq and is a predicted model, not a curated record. The transcript is spliced from 3 exons. Lineage: Eukaryota; Viridiplantae; Streptophyta; Magnoliopsida; Cucurbitales; Cucurbitaceae.
CUCACCACCAUCCCCCGUCCACUUUCCGCCACCUCCGGUCCACUCUCCGCCACCCCCAGUCCACUCUCCGCCCCUACCCAUUCACUCUCCACCCCCACCAGAGGUUUUUUUCUGCCAAUCGAGGCUUUGAUAAUCUGUACAUUGACCAUAGGUGUCAGAAUGGGGAGAUCAAAGCUAUUUUAUUUUUGGAGCAAUGACACUGGAUUUGGAACUCAACAAUUUGUAACUAUUGGAAUGAUCCAAACCUCUCAAAGCUUGUGGUGGAGACUAUAUGUGUUAAUAUACACACAAACAUACGCGUGCCCAACGGCCCAGCUUCAACAGCCAACCCAUCUCCACCAUACUGGACAAUAGCAUUCGAACGCGGGCCGACAGUAACCAACGGCCCAGCCCAAAUGUUUAACCCAGUGCGACCAGCAACUUGUGAUCCGGGACCCGCGCCUCGACCCGGAAUACCGCCUGCACACGCGUCCCCUCCCCCUAUCGACUCGUGGAGGUUAAAAAUGAAUGAUUUUUUUUUUUUUUUUUAACCCUUCCUGAGAUGAAUACGAACUUACUAAAGACAACUACGGUUGGUAAAAGGUUCGUUUUCUCAAUUUAAGUUAAGUUUAGCUAGGAAAUUAGUAUUAUUAGCGAAACAAGAUGGACGUUCUAAUAGGAAACAACUACUUAGCCGA